GAUGAACGCUGACAGAAUGCUUAACACAUGCAAGUCUUUGGCGAAGCUGUGCUUGCACAGCCUAGCCAAGGCGGACGGGUGAGUAACGCGUAAGGAACUUGCCCUGCAGUCAGGGAUAACAGACGGAAACGACUGAUAAGACCUGGUAAAGUCAGGCGGCCUCAUGUCCAGCCUGAUGAAAAGAGAUGCUGCAGGAGAGCCUUGCGUCCUAUUAGCUUGUUGGUGGGGUAACGGCCCACCAAGGCGAUGAUAGGUAGCCGGCCUGAGAGGGUGGACGGCCACAAGGGGACUGAGAUACGGCCCUUACUCCUACGGGAGGCAGCAGUGGGGAAUAUUGGACAAUGGGGGCAACCCUGAUCCAGCAAUUCUGUGUGCACGAUGAAGGUUUUCGGAUUGUAAAGUGCUUUCAGCAGGGAAGAAAAAAAUGACGGUACCUGCAGAAGAAGCGACGGCUAAAUACGUG
Molecule: ribosomal RNA, 463 nt
Filed under: uncultured bacterium
Lineage: Bacteria
Description: partial 16S ribosomal RNA
Rfam family: Bacterial small subunit ribosomal RNA
Source: RNAcentral